CCUGUAUGUGCUACUAUCUUGUCAAAUUCGUGCUAAGCUUUCCAGUGCUAUAAACAAGACCUGAAAACAUGGAUCUUGCUUAAUGGUGCUGAAUCUGUUUGGGCAAGCUUUUGCCUUGUUUGAUGCUGAUGAAUCUAUUUUGAUCAUAUGCAGGGACUUGUCUUACAACAACUUGAGCGGUCCACUUCCACCGAACAUUGGAUCCUUGAGUAACCUUGAAAGCCUGUAAGCACAAAAUUAAAUGUUUAUGUUAGCUCAUUGUUGGUUGAUUAAUUCAUAACAAAGUCUGAAGCUGGAUUAUUCAAAAGUCAUAAACUGAUCAUUUGAUUAGAACAAAGAUUCCAUAUCAUGAUUUUAAUAUAAUAUCAAUUUUAAUUUCAUUAAUGAAUCGCUUCUCUCACUUUCUCUUGUGCAUGACAGGAGCGUUGUUGGCUGCCAAUUUUCUGGUGACAUACCAAAAGAACUCAGCCAACUCCCAAAGCUGCGGUUCCUGUAAAGAUCUCAAUGACUUGGAAAAUAUUGUUAAUGAUCUCAUAUACCUGCGUCAUUUUUUUUAUGUUAAUAAGAAGUUGUGACGGUAAAAAGUUGUGACGGUAAAUGAAGACAGUAGUUUAGACUUAGUUGAAAUUUCAAUUUGAAAACCCUUCUUUUUUCACAUUGACUUAUUUGUUAGCUCGAAACCAUUUCCAUUUCAUUCCAGGUAAAACAGAAAAUAGUUUUUAUCUGUUUUGGGGGAUAUAACAAACAAAAGGAAAUGCUAACUGAGUAUCAACUUUGUAUUAUUUCUUAUAGUAUCAUGGUAUAAGAGUUGAUGGAUUGUAUUGCUGCAGGUCCUUGAACAACAACAGGUUUACUGGAAGUAUACCUCCAUCAAUUGGCAACCUUUCAAAUAUGUACUGGCUUGACUUGGGUGAAAAUCGUCUGACUGGAUCACUUCCAGUAUCUGAUGGAACCAAUACUGGAUUGGACAAUUUGACAAACGCUCUGCAUUUGUGAGUACCUUUCUUAAAAUAUCUACCAGGCUUUCAGUUCACUCGCUUCCAUUCUAAGGAAAAUGUUCGGACUGCUCUUUAUUCAGUCAUUUUGGGGUCAACCAGCUAUCAGGCACCAUACCAAGCCAGCUAUUCAAAUCAAAUAUGAAGCUCAUACAUCUGUAAGGCAAAGAUAACCUUAGAUAAUAUUUGCAAACUGUUUCAUUACUUUUAAUCUGUUAUGUCAUGCUCAAGAUUACCCAUUGUUCUUGUCAUUCAGGUUGCUUGAUAACAACAAUUUCACUGGCGGCAUUCCUCCCACAUUGACCCUUUUAACUAAACUUGAAGUCCUGUAAGUGCAUACUUUUUCUGAGCAGGCUUAUAACCAGCUUUCUUCUAACUGAGUGACCAUUCAGUAUAUAAUCCAUACAACUCAAUAUGCACAGGCGUCUCGACAGAAAUUACCAACUGACUGGACCUGUUCCUGCCAGCAUCAAUAGCCUCACAAAACUACAAGAAUUGUAAUUUUCUGGUUACUCUGAAUCUCUGAUCAGUAUUUGAAUGUGCUAGCCUUCAAUUCUAACAAAUAACCAACCUUAUUCUUUGUCAGGCAUCUAGAAAACAAUAAAUUGACAGGCCCUCUGCCAGACUUGACAGGAAUGGAUUCACUAUAUGUUGUGUAAGUGCCGAACACACUGUGGUACACUCUACUGAAAUUUUAUCAUAGGAAACCCUUGUAUCUGGCAUAUUGAACUUUUGGUUCAUUUGGCCAGUAAGUACAACUAAUCUGACAACACAUUUGCAGCUCCAUGGGCAACAACAACUUCAGUUCAUCCAAUGUUCCAACCUGGUUCACAGCUUUGUCAGCCUUGACUUCACUGUAAUUCUUCUCUGCACACUUUUUGUAGAACACAAGGAUGCAAUUUUUUUUACACUCGCUUUCAAAUCUCGGUAAAUGCACAGGAACCUUGAGAACCUACACAUCACUGGGGAGCUUCCGCAGCCUCUUUUCAAACUCCCGGCUAUCCAGACACUGUGAGUGGAAUUAGUGUUAUCUUUGCUCAUAAUAUGUGGUUACAAGAACUAUGCACUCAAUGAACAAAAAAAAAAGAGUAAAGGAAAUUGAACAUGUCAGUGCUAACUAGCAAGGUAAACUGGUGGUGGCAGGGGUCUUAAGGGCAAUAAUUUCAACGGCACACUAACCAUCGGAUCAGACUACAGCAGCACGCUCUCACUGAUUGAUUUGCAGGACAACCAGAUCACCACUCUCGCCGUGAGCGGGGCUCAGUACAACAAGAAACUCAUGUAAGAUCCAUCAAAUAUACCAAGAGAAAUUUUACGGUCCUUUAAAAAGAACUUCGAGGUACCUAAAUUUACACUAAAGAUUUUGGAACCUCGAGUUACCUAGUACCUGGAGGUAUCAAGUUUUACACCAGAAAAUGUGAUACCUCCUGGUACCUUCUCAAGGAUGAUAAAAUUACCCAAUAUACCAAUUCUUCAGUAUGUAGGCGCUCUUAUAUAUGCUUUCAUUCACACUCCCAUGUUUCUCUUCUCAUCACAGACUUGUUGGGAACCCAAUCUGUGUUCAGGGGAACAAUGAGGCACUGUACUGCAAAAGCUCACAGCAAGCGAACCCUGCAGCAAAGCCUUACUCUACUCAAUCCAUUUGUCCUGGAUUACCACCCACAUGCCUGUCGGACCAGUAUCUCAGCCCCAACUGCACCUGCGCGGUGCCAUACAUGGGUACUCUGCACUUCCGGUCACCACCGUUCUUCGACCUAAGCAACGAUACAUUCUUUGUACUCCUCGAGGAAAACAUGAAAGAAGCGUUCCUGGGCAAGCAGCUUCCUGUUGAGUCCAUUGCUCUGGAUAACCCGGCAUUCGGUCCUAGCAACAACUUGGAUAUAAACUUGAGAGUGUUCCCAAGCGGAAAGAUUCGGUUCGGCAAAGAAGAUAUCUCCUACAUUGGGUUCAUGCUCAACAACCAGACCUACAAGCCUCAUGCUCCUGGUAUAAAUUAUGGGCCAUACUAUUUCAUUGGGCAAUCCUACCCAUUCGCUGAGAGUAAGUCAACUGUUCGAAAAUCUCAACUACUGUAGAAUUAAUCCACUACCGAAUUCCUUUUUUUUUUUUGUUGAAGAAUUGGCACUACUGAUUUCUAGACUUCUUCAUGAUUACACAGCACUAUCAGCACCCAGACAGACGAAAAAGAACCAGUCCCUCAUCAUUGGUGUGUCAGCUGGUGGAGCUUUUGUUGUUGUGUCACUGCUUGUUCUUUUUACAGUUCUGUUUUUCAGGAGGAACAAAAGGCCAAAGCUGCAGCCACAACCCAGGAGCCCAUCUUACGGUAAGAAGCAUUGGAUAAAAAAAAAAUCAUGUUUUUUGUCCAUUUGAGUUGACCAACACAUGAGCUGGCAAAUAAAAUUACUUAAAUGGCUGUAGCUUCAUGGGACAUCAAGAGCACCAGCAUCAGCACCCCGCAUCUCCAAGGCGCGCGGGUGUUCACAUUCGAUGAGCUGAAGAAAAUCACAAACAGCUUCUCCGAUGCUAAUGACAUUGGAACUGGUGGCUAUGGGAAGGUAAUAUAUAGUAUAUUUGUUGAAACGGGUAUGUGACUAUCUUUAGUGCCUGACAUCCAAAGCGAUAAUGCUGAUCAAUUGCAGGUCUACAGAGGAGUACUCCCAAAUGGGCAUCUAAUUGCAGUCAAAAGAUCCGAGCAAGGGUCCUUGCAAGGCAACCUAGAAUUCCGGACUGAGAUAGAGCUCCUAUCCAGGGUUCAUCACAAGAACCUUGUCAGCCUUGUGGGAUUUUGCUUUGACCAGGGUGAGCAAAUGCUGGUCUAUGAGUAUGUGCCCAAUGGCACACUCAAGGACAGCCUCACAGGUGUGUCCAUAUGUUCAGUUAUGCAUGACUGAAUCUGCAAUUCUCCUUUGUGAAAAUAAACAUAUUCUGCUCACAUCUUUUUCAGGGAAGUCUGGGGUGCGCCUAGAUUGGAAGAGACGGCUGCGAGUAGUACUUGGUGCAGCGAAAGGCAUCGCGUACCUGCAUGAGCUUGCAGACCCUCCGAUAGUACACAGGGAUAUAAAGUCAAGUAACAUUCUUCUUGAUGGAAACCUCCACACAAAGGUUUCCGACUUUGGUCUCUCCAAGCCUCUGAACCAGGAUGGAAGGGGUCAGGUCACAACUCAAGUGAAAGGAACCAUGGUGAGUUUCACAGCUCUCUUAACUGCAAUACUGCAACGAUUAAGCACAUUGGAUACUGUUUCCUGGUUAUUUUUCAUCAACUCUGUAAGAUGAGUAUACAGAGCUGUUUAAAGAUUAUAAAAUACUUGUCAUGUAGGGAUAUUUGGACCCUGAAUACUACAUGACCCAGCAGUUGACCGAGAAGAGCGAUGUCUACAGCUUCGGUGUGCUACUACUUGAAGUGAUAACGGCGAGAAAGCCAUUAGAGAGGGGAAGGUACAUCGUGCGUGAGGUGAAAGGUGCAAUGGAUAGGACCAAGGACCUAUACGGCCUCCAUGAGCUCCUAGACCCAAUGCUAGCACCCACGUCGCUGGCCGGCUUCGAACUGUAUGUCGACUUGGCUUUGAAGUGCGUGGAGGAGGCAGGAAUGGACCGCCCAUCAAUGAGUGAGGUGGUGGCGGAGAUUGAGAAGAUCAUGAAGAUGGCAGGCGUAAACCCAAAGGUCGACUCGGCAUCAAACUCGAUGAGCUACAACAGCAGGACACCGCGUCAUCCAUACAGUGGAGAGUCUCAAUUUGAUUACAGUGGUGGCAUCCCAUCUUCGUCCAGGGUUGAACCAAAAUGAUCAGUUCGGUCGGCCCACAAUGAUCUCCAUGUAAAUAACUUGGCGCUUGUUUGUUUGUGUACAGUUCAUCAAGGUUCUGAACUGCUUCGUACAGUGACUUUCUUCUGGAAUUUCUGUAUGAUUAAUUAGCUAACAAUCUGGGUGUGUAAGUUGUUGUGCUAGAAAUCUCCUGUUGGUAAUGCCUUUUAUAUACGACACUUUUUUAGUGUUAUCUGUCAUAUAUAUGUUUAACGAUUCUAUGGCGCAAAGGGGAUUUGGGGAAUUUGCUUCUCCAGUAUUAUAACCAAAUAACCAAAGAACCAAAAUUUUUCCCAAAUGCAACAGGCUGACACUGAGAAGAUGAGCAAUUCAUCAUCAUUUUCCUUUCCAAUCGACCAACGGUGUAAUCUAGACUGCGCCCCACAACCACAACAUUGGUUCUGAUUUCACCGAUUCCAGAACUAAUCAAACCUCAUAAACCAAAAUACAGUAAGUAGCUAAACUAGUACUGAUAGUGGGGAUAAACCGAUCGCGCGACAAAACGGGUCGAGAUCUCCGUAAUCUAGUAAUAAAUCGAUCGCGCAAGUAGAUUCAGAUUGGGGGUUAGUGACCAUGGCGGGAGGACGUAGGGGGCUUACUUGGGAUCUGAGAUGGUGCGGCGCGCCUCCUCGUCGACCGAGGCGGCGCGCGCCGGAGAGGGAGGCCCGCGACGGUGGGGGCUGGACGGAGGCAGACAGCGGGCGGCGCCGCGGGAUGGAAGUGGAAACGUGGCUUAGAUCUAAGGCUGUAUUUUUCUGUUCCUAACG
This 5564-nucleotide long non-coding RNA is filed under the name Oryza sativa (Asian cultivated rice). RNAcentral describes it as "long non-coding RNA (OSAT_LNC001960)". Lineage: Eukaryota; Viridiplantae; Streptophyta; Magnoliopsida; Poales; Poaceae. The record is from RNAcentral.